UUACGGCCAUAUAGCGUUGAAACACCAGUUCUCGUGCGAUCACUAAAGUUAAGCAAAGGUGAGCCUGGUCAGUACCUAGAUGAGUGACCGCUUGGGAAUACC
Non-coding RNA from Acanthosepion pharaonis, 102 nucleotides. The record is from the annotation of a GenBank genome assembly. Lineage: Eukaryota; Metazoa; Mollusca; Cephalopoda; Sepiida; Sepiidae.